Molecule: ribosomal RNA, 764 nt
Filed under: uncultured Streptococcus sp.
Lineage: Bacteria; Bacillati; Bacillota; Bacilli; Lactobacillales; Streptococcaceae
Description: bacterial SSU rRNA
Rfam family: Bacterial small subunit ribosomal RNA
Source: RNAcentral
GACGAACGCUGGUGGCGUGCCUAAUACAUGCAAGUAGAACGCUGAAGGAGGAGCUUGCUCUUUCCGGAUGAGUUGCGAACGGGUGAGUAACGCGUAGGUAACCUGCCUGGUAGCGGGGGAUAACUAUUGGAAACGAUAGCUAAUACCGCAUAACAGUAGAUAUUGCAUGAUAUCUGCUUGAAAGGGGCAAUUGCUCCACUACCAGAUGGACCUGCGUUGUAUUAGCUAGUUGGUGAGGUAACGGCUCACCAAGGCGACGAUACAUAGCCGACCUGAGAGGGUGAUCGGCCACACUGGGACUGAGACACGGCCCAGACUCCUACGGGAGGCAGCAGUAGGGAAUCUUCGGCAAUGGACGGAAGUCUGACCGAGCAACGCCGCGUGAGUGAAGAAGGUUUUCGGAUCGUAAAUCUCUGUUGUAAGAGAAGAACGAGUGUGAGAGUGGAAAGUUCACACUGUGACGGUAUCUUACCAGAAAGGGACGGCUAACUACGUGCCAGCAGCCGCGGUAAUACGUAGGUCCCGAGCGUUAUCCGGAUUUAUUGGGCGUAAAGCGAGCGCAGGCGGUUAGAUAAGUCUGAAGUUAAAGGCUGUGGCUUAACCAUAGUACGCUUUGGAAACUGUUUAACUUGAGUGCAAGAGGGGAGAGUGGAAUUCCAUGUGUAGCGGUGAAAUGCGUAGAUAUAUGGAGGAACACCGGUGGCGAAAGCGGCUCUCUGGCUUGUAACUGACGCUGAGGCUCGAAAGCGUGGGGAGCAAACAGG